AAAAAAAGAAAAAGAGUCGACAAUGUUGUUGCGUCUUGCGCUUCCAUUCUGUUUGUUUUUUUCCCCGUAUAUCCCCCC
RNAcentral lists this non-coding RNA (78 nucleotides) under Schmidingerella taraikaensis. Lineage: Eukaryota; Ciliophora; Spirotrichea; Tintinnida; Rhabdonellidae. The record is from RNAcentral.